RNAcentral lists this ribosomal RNA (306 nucleotides) under uncultured bacterium. RNAcentral describes it as "partial 16S ribosomal RNA". It matches the Rfam family "Bacterial small subunit ribosomal RNA", at positions 507 to 807 of the family's 1533-position model. The record is from RNAcentral.
GACAGCAGCCGCCGCGGGAAUACGGAGGGUGCGAGCGUUAAUCGGAAUUACUGGGCGUAAAGCGUACGCAGGCGGUUUGUUAAGUCAGAUGUGAAAUCCCCGAGCUUAACUCGGGAACUGCAUUUGAAACUGGCAGGCUAGAGUCUUGUAGAGGGGGGUAGAAUUCCAGGUGUAGCGGUGAAAUGCGUAGAGAUCUGGAGGAAUACCGGUGGCGAAGGCGGCCCCCUGGACAAAGACUGACGCUCAGGUGCGAAAGCGUGGGGAGCAAACAGGAUUAGAUACCCGUGUAGUCCCUGUCUCUUAUAC